Non-coding RNA from Styela clava, 5014 nucleotides. The record is from RefSeq and is a predicted model, not a curated record. NCBI's taxonomy places the organism in Eukaryota, Metazoa, Chordata, Ascidiacea, Stolidobranchia, Styelidae.
UUGAGGAUUUGGUCGUCUCGUCUCCGAUAUAUCGUUUGCCAUUAGAAUUCAUUUGGUAAAAGAUAUCUUUCGACCGUAUGGAGUUCAUUUUGUAUACCGGUAGUCAAUGAUAGACACGGCACAUGUGGCACUGAUAAACAAUCUAGCAGUACCGGUACCGCAUGCUGUUACAUGUUGCUAUUACUUAUUACAGUUUUAGAUGCUUUUUUUUCUGUAAGAAGAUAAUUUGAAUACUGCCAGACUGUAGUUGACUCACAGUUAGUAGGGGAAUCUAUUGAUAUUUCAGAUCCAUUAUGUCACAUUACACCCAACACCAGAACACCUCUGUUUACUCCCGUUUUUGCCCUACUAGGAAACAAUUAUUUUGCCUGAAUGCCCUCGACCACAUCUUAAAAUAGGAGCUUCAUAUGCUGUUUAAUUGAUAUUUUAUCGUGGCUUUUGAAUAUGCCUAAUACAUUGCAAGAAAGUUUGUUAAUCUUAACCCUGAAGAGUGAAGACGUUACUAAAUCGUAUGAGAUGUAAAUAUUGAAAUACAUCUAUAUUUCAGUAUUUAUAUGGGAUAAAAUUUUCAUAUCUAUCAGAGAGGCAAAUACAAUGAGACGGCUUAUUCAUAUGAUGAACCAAGCUCUCUCAACCUGUUUCCCUUCAAUAUCAGGUAUGGGAAUAGUUAACCAAUUAUUUGCUUCAGAUGUAUAGACAAGAUGUCUGAUAGUGGAGGAAGCCAUAACUGAUCAGUGAUUAUGUGAACUAUCUUGAAUAAUUGGUUAUGGUUAUACGAGUAGUCUUGUGGCUUUGUUUUUGGUAAUAUAGUAAUAUGACAUAUUAAUGGACCUUCAGUUUUAUAGCUGUCGUCUAAUUAAUAUUACCUGCUUAAUUUUUCACUAAACUAUCAAUAGUUUUUUUUAUUCCAAUAAACUCUAAAUACCAGCUUUCUUGAAACUAGGCCCUUUGAAAGGCAUUCUUAGAUAAGAAUACAUGUAGUCAUACUUAUUAUAUGUUAAAAAAAACUUAAUUUUUUUACACAUCAUGGUGUAAGGUUGCAAGCUUACGUAUUUGCAUUUUAUAGCUCAAAAGCUUUUCGUAUGUGGCUUCUGGUACUCAUACUGUCAUAGACAAUGGUGAUGUAAAUCAGCUUCUUUAUAGGCGUAUCUCUGACAGUGGUGUUACUUAUUGAUCUCGGUCGGAAUGAUCUAUGAACAGCGCUCAGUGUGGGAAUGGUUCCUUAUGACUCUUCCAUCAGUUGUGUUGAAGCUGAUGAUGUAACCUUGCCAUGGACAUAAUUCACUUGAAAAGUGUCUUUCGGUGUCUCCAAGAUAGUCACAGUUGGGAAUUUCAUAGGAUAUUUAAAUUUGCAUUUACCGUCAGCACCUUUUUGCCUGCCAGUGCAAUUUGUCUCAUGUCUAUGGAAGCUGUAACCUGUCCCCCUUGGCAACAGCAAAUAGCCUAGCAAUUCUCUUGCAACUAAACCUUUUUGUGGGAUUUCGACUCAUCCAGGAUAGUCAGCAGUGCAAAAGUGUUCAUCUCCUGAUACUUAGCUACCACGAAGUCUCACAGACGAUGAUAAAGAGAAACAAAAUACAAUAAAGAAAUAAGCCGCUUAAGUUGAAUACAUUAUUCAUACGAUCAUUACCUCAGUUUUGUAUAAUUGCCGUCAAACGUUGAGGUAAUACAAAGAUCAGAAGUUUAUUAUAUUGGAUAUAUCAAGUGUAUACGAAUAUUUAUUUAGUUCAAUUUGUAUCAUGGUUAAUGGAUAUAAAAUGGCAAUUCUCUUAUUGCCCCAUUCUAGUUUUCCAAUCUGUUUCUUUGACUCUGUUUAUAUCAGAUUAAGGUACUACCUUGUUAAAGACUAAAUUCCUGUUAUGUUUAUUUAAUUCUUUUGGUUAGGUAGUUAAAAUAUAACGACAUAACAUAACACUUUUGUUACUAUCAUGUUAUUUCCCCUGAACGUACCUAAGAAAGCAAAGGUAGGGCAAUAUCAUGACAGUAUCCCCAGCAUUGUUGCUGCGUCAGGAAUGCAUUUGAAAUGGUAAGGCAAUUGGGUCUGUGCCCCCUUCAAUGUUUGAUGGUUUUUGGCGUCCCAGGUUCGGGAUAGUGUCGUGCAUGUAUUUUAUACUAAUCUUUCCUAUUGAGUUUCCUUAUAUAUAUGAUGUUUGAUGUGCGUUUCACUCUGAGCAUGGCUUUGUGCAAGCAUACACUGUUAUUGAAAGAGCUGCCAGAGUUAGUAAUAGCUGUAAUUUUUUCAUUUAGCAUGUCCUAUACCCUUAGUGAGAUGAUAGACAUGGGGAUCAAACUUGGGAUUUUAAACCUUAGAUGUCGCCAUAGUGGGUCCAAUUCUUAAACCAUUCAUCCCCUGUUGAGCUAAUCCCAGUCCUCGAAGUUAGCAUGCAUUCCAAAAUAUGAAUUGUCACCUUGAACAGUUAUCCAACAUUGUAAAGCUCAAUUUGCUUUUACCACCAUUGACCGCCAUUUAUGUCAUAGAGAUUAAACUUUAUGUUAUACUCAGCAUUCCAGUAAUUGCCAACAACAGUGCUGAUAUUUUUGCAACUUAGUUAUACAAUUAUAAUAUGAUAAGAUUAUGAUGCUAAUUGCCUGAAGCAAAGUUUGUGGCAUUUAUUUGGUUAAUUUGCAUUUAUUUUUACGUCAAUGAUGAACUUACUAUCUGUUUUAUUAUCUGCAGACAAUUUGUUGAUGAUUGUGGUUUAUCUUUGUAAAUGUUUAAAAAGAGUUGCACAACAUGCAAAAAUAGAUUAGAUUAGUAAGGCGGGUGCUCAAGGUCGUCCAGUGAAUGCUUAUUAUAUAAUUGCAGUUUUGCUUGAAUUUUAAAUUUUUUGUGGUGAGACUCAGUGAUGCAGUAUUCUUGGGGGAUGUUCGUAACAGGGUUAUGGAGCUGUGUCCUGAAAUUCUUAUUUAGAAUGACUACAAUGUCCAGAUUUUAUAAUCUGCCUCUUUUAUUAAUAGUAUAGUACUUGCACUUAAUUUUCACAUAGCGAGGGCUUAUUAUGUCCCUUUAACUGGUUCUUUGGAACUGUAGUUUCAGAAUAGUUUUAAACUUUUUUCUUGCACUGAUCAAUUGGAAUGGUCUCAUUAUUAAGAUGCUAUAUUUUUGUAUAGGAAUCUGGUCUCCAUGGGCGACCAUCGAAAUGCUAAAAGCGAGUUAUGUAAUCAAGAGUUUUUUCUUCAGCUCAUAUUUUCCAGAUGUGAUUAAAAACCGUGGAAUGAAAAUUUUUGCAUUCUUUUGUUACAAAUGUUGGAUGGCUUUGAUUUUAUUCCUAUUAUUUUCUUGUUUUAUGAUUGGGGCGCUUACAAUGACUCACAGUCAUAGGGGUACCAAAUUUAUUAAUCAAAAUCAUACUUAUUAUUUGGCACUAAAAUUAUACGGAAUAAUUCUAGACUACCCUUCUGCUGUGAGGAACCCCAAAAAUGACUAAUACUUUAUGCAUUCUUCGGCUGCAUUUGUUUCGCCUGGAGCAAUUUAGUUCAAAUUAUUAUGGAAUUAAAAAAAAAGUUGUUUUACGACAUUGUAACUAAACCUCCAUGCACUCAGUUCAACUCCAGAAUAAGAGUACCCGGAAUUUGGUUAAAAUUUUAUGAAAAGAAAAGUAACAAUAAAUAUUCACAUUUAUUUUAUGUUAUCUAAAAAGGACAAUUAUCCACAGAAAAUUAAGAAAGACUUAUUUAUAUGUUGUACCACUUCUUUUUUCGUUGACUACCAGUUUGGUUGGGUAUGGGAAUAGCUAGCCAAGGUAAAUGAUAGAGAUGCACGGGCUCUCGGGCACUUCAUUACCUGACCAAAUAGAUUCUGAAACUUCUCUGUAACAGAGAAUUACCCAAUCAGUAGUGUUUAUAUGACUUUGAUGUUGAUCCCCGCAUCGAAUAGUGAUAUGUUUAACAUUUUCUGCAAUUCAUAUAAGUUCUAGAGCGUCGUAAAUCAGUAGUUUAAACUCGAUUAUUUGAACAUUGUAAACUCAGUCAACUUAUACUUCCAAACAGCAACUUGCCGUUUGACUUUGCAAUUUACUUCUGUACCGGUUUGGCGCAACGUGUUAGGUGUUAGUAAACAUGCAUACCGUCACGUCGCCGAUUACCUGCGUGGGAAUAAUUAUGCGCGAGAGUAUUUCUGGACUGCUCGCAAUCGCAGGGUGGUUUACGUACGUGCUGGUCGAUUGCCACCACUAAAGUCCAGUCAUAUGGGGCAUUUAAGUAGUUAUUUAUCCCCACAUCUUGUAUGUAGGCCUACAGGAUAAAUAUAAAAGUGUUUUAAUCUAUUAAUUAUGGGUAGGUAUGUGCACCGUAAGGCGAUCAGAUACUCGGCCAAGUAUACCGACAUCUAGCUUGUUAUUUGCUGUGCAUUUAAAUACUAAUAAAUUUUGGUCAUUUUUUUUACUUUUUUAGCUACAUAAAGAAAGCUGCAAUCGUAGUUACGCGGGGAUAAAUGUUGUUUUUGUUUGAAUUAAUUUGUCGUUAAAGAGUCCGCUAGUUCGGUCAUGCGGAAAAGUAUGCGACAAAGUCAAAAUUUUUGAGCGAUAAUGCGCAAAACGGAGAGUUUUUGACGAUUUUUUGACAAUGGAGUUGGUCGGUUUCUCGCUUGAUGGAUCCGAGCCCCCGUCUGGGAAUUUCAUGUCGAUAUUUAACCGCUCGUCGAACGACACUCUGACGCACGUUAUCCCCAACUCCUACGCAAUAUGUUCGUAAUAAUCACUUUGUGUUGGAGAUGAGACUAUCUACCGUUGUCAAUGGAAACCGCUGAAAUUCUUUUUCACCCACGCUUUCCUAUAUUUAAAUGUAUUUUUACUCUUGUUUAUGUUGGUCUAGUCCUUUGCGUGGAAAUAUUCUUUUACCAAUUGAUUUGAUAAAUAAUGAGGGUAAUUUGAAUCGUACGAAAAUAGUAUGUAUUUUGUAGUAUAUGGAUGUAAAACUUUGGGCUAAUCCUCCAAUGUCUUAUUAUUUUGUGCAUAAGACUGAACGGAUAAUUGAAGUUUAUUAUUGGAUACCCUGAUCUAAUUCAUUCACGAUA